GAUGAAGAACGCAGCGAAAUGCGAUAAGUAAUGUGAAUUGCAGAAUCCAGUGAAUCAUCGAAUCUUUGAACGCACAUUGCGCCCCUUGGUAUUCCGAGGGGCAUGCCUGUUCGAGCGUCAUUAUAACCCCUCAAGCUCAGCUUGGUGUUGGGGCCUGCUGCACUGGCAGCCCUUAAAAUCAGUGGCGGCGCCAUCUGGCUCUAAGCGUAGUAAUUCUUCUCGCUAUGGAGUCCUGGUGGAUGCUUGCCAUCAACCCCCAAUUCUUCUAUGGUUGACCUCGGAUCAGGUCGGGAUACCCGCUGAACUUAAGCAUAUCAAUAAGCGGAGGA
RNAcentral lists this unclassified non-coding RNA (329 nucleotides) under soil metagenome. Its description in RNAcentral is "partial contains 5.8S ribosomal RNA, internal transcribed spacer 2, and large subunit ribosomal RNA". The stretch from base 1 to 120 matches the Rfam family "5.8S ribosomal RNA", at positions 35 to 154 of the family's 154-position model. The record is from RNAcentral.